AUGAACGCUGGCGGCGUGCCUAAUACAUGCAAGUCGAGCGAACAGACGAGGAGCUUGCUCCUCUGACGUUAGCGGCGGACGGGUGAGUAACACGUGGAUAACCUACCUAUAAGACUGGGAUAACUUUGGGAAACCGGAGCUAAUACCGGAUAAUAUAUUGAACCGCAUGGUUCAAUAGUGAAAGACGGUUUUGCUGUCACUUAUAGAUGGAUCCGCGCCGCAUUAGCUAGUUGGUAAGGUAACGGCUUACCAAGGCGACGAUGCGUAGCCGACCUGAGAGGGUGAUCGGCCACACUGGAACUGAGACACGGUCCAGACUCCUACGGGAGGCAGCAGUAGGGAAUCUUCCGCAAUGGGCGAAAGCUUGACGGAGCAACGCCGCGUGAGUGAUGAAGGUCUUCGGAUCGUAAAACUCUGUUAUUAGGGAAGAACAAAUGUGUAAGUAACUAUGCACGUCUUGACGGUACCUAAUCAGAAAGCCACGGCUAACUACGUG
RNAcentral lists this ribosomal RNA (496 nucleotides) under uncultured bacterium. RNAcentral describes it as "partial 16S ribosomal RNA". It matches the Rfam family "Bacterial small subunit ribosomal RNA", at positions 29 to 507 of the family's 1533-position model. The record is from RNAcentral.